UCCCUGGUGGUCCAGUGAUUAAGACUCGACUCUUCCAAUGCAGGGAGCCUAGGUUUGAUCCCUGGUCAGGGAA
Molecule: transfer RNA, 73 nt
Filed under: Bos taurus (domestic cattle)
Lineage: Eukaryota; Metazoa; Chordata; Mammalia; Artiodactyla; Bovidae
Also listed under: 2 other names
Rfam family: tRNA
About the family: Transfer RNA (tRNA) molecules are approximately 80 nucleotides in length. Their secondary structure includes four short double-helical elements and three loops (D, anti-codon, and T loops).
Source: Rfam by way of RNAcentral